GUACACUCCUACGGGAGGCAGCAGUGGGGAAUUUUGGACAAUGGGGGCAACCCUGAUCCAGCAAUGCCGCGUGAGUGAAGAAGGCCUUCGGGUUGUAAAGCUCUUUUGUCAGGGAAGAAACGGUGGUGGCGAAUAACUACUACUAAUGACGGUACCUGAAGAAUAAGCACCGGCUAACUACGUGCCAGCAGCCGCGGUAAUACGUAGGGUGCAAGCGUUAAUCGGAAUUACUGGGCGUAAAGCGUGCGCAGGCGGUUGUGUAAGUCAGAUGUGAAAUCCCCGGGCUCAACCUGGGAAUUGCAUUUGAGACUGCACGGCUAGAGUGUGUCAGAGGGGGGUAGAAUUCCACGUGUAGCAGUGAAAUGCGUAGAUAUGUGGAGGAAUACCGAUGGCGAAGGCAGCCCCCUGGGAUAACACUGACGCUCAUGCACGAAAGCGUGGGGAGCAAACAGGAUUAGAAACCCUAGUAGUCCCA
This 475-nucleotide ribosomal RNA is filed under the name uncultured organism. RNAcentral describes it as "partial 16S ribosomal RNA". It matches the Rfam family "Bacterial small subunit ribosomal RNA", at positions 331 to 797 of the family's 1533-position model. The record is from RNAcentral.